UCUUGACGUUAGCAACAGAAGAAGCACCGGCUAACUCCGUGCCAGCAGCCGCGGUAAUACGGAGGGUGCGAGCGUUAAUCGGAAUUACUGGGCGUAAAGCGCAUGCAGGUGGUUCAUUAAGUCAGAUGUGAAAGCCCGGGGCUCAACCUCGGAACUGCAUUUGAAACUGGUGAACUAGAGUGCUGUAGAGGGGGGUAGAAUUUCAGGUGUAGCGGUGAAAUGCGUAGAGAUCUGAAGGAAUACCAGUGGCGAAGGCGGCCCCCUGGACAGACACUGACACUCAGAUGCGAAAGCGUGGGGAGCAAACAGGAUUAGAUACCCUGGUAGUCCACGCCGUAAACGAUGUCUACUUGGAGGUUGUGGCCUUGAGCCGUGGCUUUCGGAGCUAACGCGUUAAGUAGACCGCCUGGGGAGUACGGUCGCAAGAUUAAAACUCAAAUGAAUUGACGGGGGCCCGCACAAGCGGUGGAGCAUGUGGUUUAAUUCGAUGC
RNAcentral lists this ribosomal RNA (491 nucleotides) under Vibrio splendidus FF-6. RNAcentral describes it as "bacterial SSU rRNA". It matches the Rfam family "Bacterial small subunit ribosomal RNA", at positions 467 to 957 of the family's 1533-position model. The record is from RNAcentral. Lineage: Bacteria; Pseudomonadati; Pseudomonadota; Gammaproteobacteria; Vibrionales; Vibrionaceae.